GUAUGCUUCUUCGGAAGUAGAGACCGGCGCACGGGUGCGUAACGCGUAUGCAAUCUACCUUUUACAGAGGGAUAGCCCAGAGAAAUUUGGAUUAAUACCUCAUAGUAUAGCUGAAUCGCAUGAUUCUACUAUUAAAGUCACAACGGUAAAAGAUGAGCAUGCGUCCCAUUAGCUAGUUGGUAAGGUAACGGCUUACCAAGGCUACGAUGGGUAGGGGUCCUGAGAGGGAGAUCCCCCACACUGGUACUGAGACACGGACCAGACUCCUACGGGAGGCAGCAGUGAGGAAUAUUGGACAAUGGGCGCAAGCCUGAUCCAGCCAUGCCGCGUGCAGGAUGACGGUCCUAUGGAUUGUAAACUGCUUUUAUACGAGAAGAAACACUGCUUCGUGAAGCAGCUUGACGGUAUCGUAAGAAUAAGGAUCGGCUAACUCCGUGCCAGCAGCCGCGGUAAUACGGAGGAUCCAAGCGUUAUCCGGAAUCAUUGGGUUUAAAGGGUCCGUAGGCGGUUUAAUAAGUCAGUGGUGAAAGCCCAUCGCUCAACGGUGGAACGGCCAUUGAUACUGUUAAACUUGAAUUAUUAGGAAGUAACUAGAAUAUGUAGUGUAGCGGUGAAAUGCUUAGAGAUUACAUGGAAUACCAAUUGCGAAGGCAGGUUACUACUAAUGGAUUGACGCUGAUGGACGAAAGCGUGGGUAGCGAACAGGAUUAGAUACCCUGGUAGUCCACGCCGUAAACGAUGGAUACUAGCUGUUGGGAGCAAUCUCAGUGGCUAAGCGAAAGUGAUAAGUAUCCCACCUGGGGAGUACGUUCGCA
RNAcentral lists this ribosomal RNA (815 nucleotides) under Flavobacterium sp. RNAcentral describes it as "bacterial SSU rRNA". It matches the Rfam family "Bacterial small subunit ribosomal RNA", at positions 67 to 890 of the family's 1533-position model. Lineage: Bacteria; Pseudomonadati; Bacteroidota; Flavobacteriia; Flavobacteriales; Flavobacteriaceae. The record is from RNAcentral.